CUACGGGAGGCUCCAGCAAGGAAUAGCAGGCAAUGGGCGAAAGCCUGACCUCGCGACGCCGCGUGAAGGAUGAAGGCCUUCGGGUCGUAAACUUCUUUUCUCGGGGAUGAAUAAUGACAGUACCCGGGGAAUAAGUCACGGCUAACUACGUGCCAGCAGCCGCGGUAAUACGUAGGUGGCGAGCGUUAUCCGGAUUUACUGGGCGUAAAGAGUGCGCAGGCGGUCUUUCAAGUCAGGUGUAAAAUCUCCCGGCUCAACUGGGAGGGACCACCUGAUACUGUGAGGCUAGAGUACAGCAGAGGAAAGCGGAAUUCCCGGUGUAGUGGUGGAAUGCGUAGAUAUCGGGAGGAACACCAGUGGCGAAAGCGGCUUUCUGGGCUGUUACUGACGCUGUUGCACGAAAGCGUGGGGAGCAAACAGGAUUAGAUACCCGCGUAGUC
RNAcentral lists this ribosomal RNA (440 nucleotides) under uncultured bacterium. RNAcentral describes it as "partial 16S ribosomal RNA". It matches the Rfam family "Bacterial small subunit ribosomal RNA", at positions 339 to 795 of the family's 1533-position model. The record is from RNAcentral.